UACGUAGGGUGCGAGCGUUACUCGGAAUUACUGGGCGUAAAGCGUGCGCAGGCGGUUCGUUGUGUCGGUGGUGAAAUCCCCGGGCUUAACCUGGGAAUGGCCAUGGAAACUGGCGAACUGGAGUGCGGCAGAGGAGAGUGGAAUUCCCGGUGUAGUGGUGAUAUGCGUAGAUAUCGGGAGGAACACCAGUGGCGAAGGCGGCUCUCUGGGCCCUACCUGGCGCUGAGACGCGAAAGCGUGGGGAGCGAACCGG
RNAcentral lists this ribosomal RNA (253 nucleotides) under uncultured bacterium. RNAcentral's name for it is "partial 16S ribosomal RNA". It matches the Rfam family "Bacterial small subunit ribosomal RNA", at positions 524 to 776 of the family's 1533-position model. The record is from RNAcentral.